RNAcentral lists this non-coding RNA (218 nucleotides) under Chromera velia. The record is from RNAcentral. Lineage: Eukaryota; Chromeraceae.
CCCCUGCAUUCUUUCUGCCUUGUAUGGACUGUGGCUGCUUGCCUGAUUCUCUCUUUUUGUGUUCUUGUUUGUCUCUCUGUGUACAUGUCUGUGUACGUGUCUCUCUUUCUGUCUGUAUCUCUCUGUUGGAGAGAAACUCGUUGGUAUUCUCUCUUGCUCGUCCGUUAUGAAAAGAAGCAAAGCGAAAAGGCAGUCUGCCUUUCCCUCUCCCCCUCCUA